This 275-nucleotide ribosomal RNA is filed under the name uncultured Rothia sp. RNAcentral describes it as "partial 16S ribosomal RNA". It matches the Rfam family "Bacterial small subunit ribosomal RNA", at positions 69 to 339 of the family's 1533-position model. Lineage: Bacteria; Bacillati; Actinomycetota; Actinomycetes; Micrococcales; Micrococcaceae. The record is from RNAcentral.
AUGAAGCCUAGCUUGCUAGGUGGAUUAGUGGCGAACGGGUGAGUAAUACGUGAGUGACCUACCUUUGACUCUGGGAUAAGCCUGGGAAACUGGGUCUAAUACCGGAUACGACCAAUCUCCGCAUGGGGUGUUGGUGGAAAGCGUUAUGUAGUGGUUAUAGAUGGGCUCACGGCCUAUCAGCUUGUUGGUGAGGUAACGGCUCACCAAGGCGACGACGGGUAGCCGGCCUGAGAGGGUGACCGGCCACACUGGGACUGAGACACGGCCCAGACUCC